UACGGGAGGCAGCAGUGAGGAAUAUUGGUCAAUGGGCGAGAGCCUGAACCAGCCAAGUAGCGUGCAGGAUGACGGCCCUAUGGGUUGUAAACUGCUUUUAUCAGGGGAUAAAGUCGCCCACGUGUGGGUGUUUGCAGGUACCUGAUGAAUAAGGACCGGCUAAUUCCGUGCCAGCAGCCGCGGUAAU
Molecule: ribosomal RNA, 187 nt
Filed under: uncultured rumen bacterium
Lineage: Bacteria
Description: partial 16S ribosomal RNA
Rfam family: Bacterial small subunit ribosomal RNA
Source: RNAcentral